GUGCUUGCUUCGGCAGCACAUAGACUAAAACAGGAACGAUACAGAGAAGAUUAGCAUGGUCCCUGCGCAAGGAUGACAGGCAAAUUUGUGAAGCGUUCCAUAUUUAA
RNAcentral lists this small nuclear RNA (107 nucleotides) under Saimiri boliviensis boliviensis (Bolivian squirrel monkey). The record is from RNAcentral. Lineage: Eukaryota; Metazoa; Chordata; Mammalia; Primates; Cebidae.